This 440-nucleotide ribosomal RNA is filed under the name uncultured bacterium. RNAcentral describes it as "partial 16S ribosomal RNA". It matches the Rfam family "Bacterial small subunit ribosomal RNA", at positions 338 to 795 of the family's 1533-position model. The record is from RNAcentral.
CCUACGGGAGGCAGCAGUGGGGAAUAUUGCACAAUGGGGGAAACCCUGAUGCAGCGACGCCGCGUGAAGGAAGAAGUAUUUCGGUAUGUAAACUUCUAUCAGCAGGGAAGAAAAUGACGGUACCUGACUAAGAAGCCCCGGCUAACUACGCGCCAGCAGCCGCGGUAAUACGUAGGGGGCAAGCGUUAUCCGGAUUUACUGGGGGUAAAGGGAGCGUAGGCGGCGAUGUAGGUAAGAAGUGAAAGCCCGGGGCUCAACUCCGGGACUGCUGUUGAAACUGUAUGGCUAGAUUGCAGGAGAGGCAAGUGGAAUGCCUAGUGUAGCGGUGAAAUGCGUAGAUAUUAGGAGGAACACCAGUGGCGAAGGCGGCUUGCUGGACUGUAAAUGACGCUGAGGCUCGAAAGCGUGGGGAGCAAACAGGAUUAGAUACCCCUGUAGUC